AAAAUACGAAAAGUAAUAUGAAUUGCAGAAACGAAUCAUCAACUAUUUGAACGCACAUUGCGCUCUUUGGGUUAAAAAACCAAGAGCAUGUCUGCCUCAGCAUCGGGUUAAACCUCACCCAAUACACCCUGUGUGUAAACGGUGGAUCUGGUCGUCCCAGCGCUUCACAGCUCUGGGUCGUCUGAAGACCAGAGGCUAAUACAAGGACCCGUUUACGGGCCGCAACUGGGUAGGAAUAGUCCGCUAUUCAUGCUAGUUGUUGGCUUGGGACCAUGUGUUCGGCCCUCAACCAGGAGUCUUAACCCUUUUUUCUCGAUCUGAGCUCAGGCAAGAACACCCGCUGAACUUAAGC
Molecule: unclassified non-coding RNA, 352 nt
Filed under: plant metagenome
Description: partial contains internal transcribed spacer 2 and large subunit ribosomal RNA
Rfam family: 5.8S ribosomal RNA (bases 1-105)
Source: RNAcentral